GAUGAACGCUGGCGGCGUGCCUAAUACAUGCAAGUCGAGCGAACAGAUAAGGAGCUUGCUCCUUUGACGUUAGCGGCGGACGGGUGAGUAACACGUGGGUAACCUACCUAUAAGACUGGGAUAACUUCGGGAAACCGGAGCUAAUACCGGAUAACAUUUGGAACCGCAUGGUUCUAAAGUGAAAGAUGGUUUUGCUAUCACUUAUAGAUGGACCCGCGCCGUAUUAGCUAGUUGGUAAGGUAACGGCUUACCAAGGCGACGAUACGUAGCCGACCUGAGAGGGUGAUCGGCCACACUGGGACUGAGACACGGUCCAGACUCCUACGGGAGGCAGCAGUAGGGAAUCUUCCGCAAUGGGCGAAAGCCUGACGGAGCAACGCCGCGUGAGUGAUGAAGGGUUUCGGCUCGUAAAACUCUGUUAUUAGGGAAGAACAAAUGUGUAAGUAACUGUGCACGUCUUGACGGUACCUAAUCAGAAAGCCACGGCUAACUACGUG
This 497-nucleotide ribosomal RNA is filed under the name uncultured bacterium. Its description in RNAcentral is "partial 16S ribosomal RNA". It matches the Rfam family "Bacterial small subunit ribosomal RNA", at positions 28 to 507 of the family's 1533-position model. The record is from RNAcentral.